GCCCCAGCGGGUUCCCCGGCCUCCGGAGCCGUGUGCGCAGGUUCGAAUCCUGCCGGGGGCA
RNAcentral lists this transfer RNA (61 nucleotides) under Streptomyces sp. 7-21. Its description in RNAcentral is "tRNA-Ser". RNAcentral also lists the same sequence under 1 other name. Lineage: Bacteria; Bacillati; Actinomycetota; Actinomycetes; Kitasatosporales; Streptomycetaceae. The record is from RNAcentral.